Molecule: long non-coding RNA, 405 nt
Filed under: Brassica napus (rape)
Lineage: Eukaryota; Viridiplantae; Streptophyta; Magnoliopsida; Brassicales; Brassicaceae
Description: long non-coding RNA (BNAP_LNC001493)
Source: RNAcentral
AUUUCAAUUGCAUCAAGCACUUACACCAUAUGAAAACUACCAGCAAACCACAAAUUAAAAAAAAAAAAAACCAAAGCAACAUAUGCUCAUAAAGCUUAUUGAAAAUUGGAAAACAUACUCAGCAAAAACCACCACCUUUUUCCAUUGUUGUAUUCCAUAGAUUAAAGUUAUUGUUUUGGAUUCUCCUCCUUUGGGGCUGAGGGGUCCUUCUCAUCUUCAUGUUUCACCUCUUCCCAUGCAUUGGUUGUGGUCUUCGAGAGAUUCUUUUUGCAAGGUGUUAAUAGCGCCUGAAUCAUACGUUUUUUGUGGUUCCUUCUGCCAAGCUCAUUGUUGACUUAAACAACUUCUUCUUUCCCUCUGCUUCUUUGUAACCUCUCCUUUCCUCGCAUGAUUCCUACCAAGAUC